Molecule: ribosomal RNA, 497 nt
Filed under: uncultured bacterium
Lineage: Bacteria
Description: partial 16S ribosomal RNA
Rfam family: Bacterial small subunit ribosomal RNA
Source: RNAcentral
GAUGAACGCUGGCGGCGUGCCUAAUACAUGCAAGUCGAGCGAACGGACGAGAAGCUUGCUUCUCUGAUGUUAGCGGCGGACGGGUGAGUAACACGUGGAUAACCUACCUAUAAGACUGGGAUAACUUCGGGAAACCGGAGCUAAUACCGGAUAAUAUUUUGAACCGCAUGGUUCAAUAGUGAAAGACGGUCUUGCUGUCUCUUAUAGAUGGAUCCGCGCUGCAUUAGCUAGUUGGUAAGGUAACGGCUUACCAAGGCAACGAUGCAUAGCCGACCUGAGAGGGUGAUCGGCCACACUGGAACUGAGACACGGUCCAGACUCCUACGGGAGGCAGCAGUAGGGAAUCUUCCGCAAUGGGCGAAAGCCUGACGGAGCAACGCCGCGUGAGUGAUGAAGGUCUUCGGAUCGUAAAACUCUGUUAUUAGGGAAGAACAUAUGUGUAAGUAACUGUGCACAUCUUGACGGUACCUAAUCAGAAAGCCACGGCUAACUACGUG